Molecule: ribosomal RNA, 642 nt
Filed under: Azorhizobium doebereinerae
Lineage: Bacteria; Pseudomonadati; Pseudomonadota; Alphaproteobacteria; Hyphomicrobiales; Xanthobacteraceae
Description: partial 16S ribosomal RNA
Rfam family: Bacterial small subunit ribosomal RNA
Source: RNAcentral
AUGCAAGUCGAGCGCCCAGCAAUUGGGAGCGGCAGACGGGUGAGUAACNCNGUGGGGAUCUGCCCAAUGGUACGGAAUAACCCAGGGAAACCUUGGAUUAAUACCCGUAUGUGCCCCUUCGGGGGAAAGAUUUAUCGCCAUUGGAUGAACCCGCGUCGGAUUAGCUAGUUGGUGUGGUAAAGGCGCACCAAGGCGACGAUCCGUAGCUUGGUCUGAGAGGAUGAUCAGCCACACUGGGACUGAGACACGGCCCAGACUCCUACGGGAGGCAGCAGUGGGGAAUAUUGGACAAUGGGCGCAAGCNUGAUCCAGCCAUGCCGGGGUGUGUGAUGAAGGCCUUAGGGUUGUAAAGCACUUUCGCCGGUGAAGAUAAUGACGGUAACCGGAGAAGAAGCCCCGNNUAACUUCGUGCCAGCAGCCGNGGUAAUACNAAGGGGGCAAGCGUUGCUCGNAAUCACUGGGCGUAAAGCGNACGUAGGCGGGUCGUUAAGUCAGGGGGNNAAAUCCCUGGAGCUNAACCUCCANANCUGCCCUUGAUACUGGCGAUCUUGANUUCGAAANAAGGUUGGNGNNACCUGCNAGUGUAGAGGNGAAAUUCGNAGAUNUUCGCAANACCACCAGNGGCGAAGGGGNCCAACUGCU